UUAUUUGAGAGUUUGAUCCUGGCUCAGGAUGAACGCUGGCGGCGUGCCUAACACAUGCAAGUUGAGCGAUUUACUUCGGUAAAGAGCGGCGGACGGGUGAGUAACGCGUGGGUAACCUACCCUGUACACACGGAUAACAUACCGAAAGGUAUGCUAAUACGGGAUAAUAUAUUUGAGAGGCAUCUCUUAAAUAUCAAAGGUGAGCCAGUACAGGAUGGACCCGCGUCUGAUUAGCUAGUUGGUAAGGUAACGGCUUACCAAGGCGACGAUCAGUAGCCGACCUGAGAGGGUGAUCGGCCACAUUGGAACUGAGACACGGUCCAAACUCCUACGGGAGGCAGCAGUGGGGAAUAUUGCACAAUGGGCGAAAGCCUGAUGCAGCAACGCCGCGUGAGUGAUGAAGGCCUUCGGGUCGUAAAACUCUGUCCUCAAGGAAGAU
This 439-nucleotide ribosomal RNA is filed under the name Clostridioides difficile. RNAcentral's name for it is "bacterial SSU rRNA". It matches the Rfam family "Bacterial small subunit ribosomal RNA", at positions 1 to 449 of the family's 1533-position model. Lineage: Bacteria; Bacillati; Bacillota; Clostridia; Peptostreptococcales; Peptostreptococcaceae. The record is from RNAcentral.